This 402-nucleotide ribosomal RNA is filed under the name uncultured Kaistia sp. RNAcentral's name for it is "bacterial SSU rRNA". It matches the Rfam family "Bacterial small subunit ribosomal RNA", at positions 355 to 774 of the family's 1533-position model. Lineage: Bacteria; Pseudomonadati; Pseudomonadota; Alphaproteobacteria; Hyphomicrobiales; Kaistiaceae. The record is from RNAcentral.
UGGGGAAUAUUGGACAAUGGGCGCAAGCCUGAUCCAGCCAUGCCGCGUGUGUGAUGAAGGCCUUAGGGUUGUAAAGCACUUUCGCCGAUGAAGAUAAUGACGGUAGUCGGAGAAGAAGCCCCGGCUAACUUCGUGCCAGCAGCCGCGGUAAUACGAAGGGGGCAAGCGUUGUUCGGAUUUACUGGGCGUAAAGCGUACGUAGGCGGAUCAUUAAGUCAGGGGUGAAAUCCCGGGGCUCAACCUCGGAACUGCCUUUGAUACUGGUGAUCUUGAGUCCGGGAGAGGUGAGUGGAACUCCUAGUGUAGAGGUGAAAUUCGUAGAUAUUAGGAAGAACACCAGUGGCGAAGGCGGCUCACUGGCCCGGAACUGACGCUGAGGUACGAAAGCGUGGGGAGCAAACA